CGUACUCAUUCCUGGUCACAAUGGAUCAAAAUGCAAGCAGUGAUUAUUACAUUGUUGCGAGUCCACGCUUUGUUAAUUCCUCCGGUUGGUCGAAGUCGGUAGGAGUUUCUGUCUUGCAUUAUUCAAAUUCACAAGGACCUGCUUCAGGCCCUCUUCCAGACCCUCCUAAUGAAUCAGUAGGAGUUGCUGUCUUGCAUUACUCGAAUUCACAAGGACCUGCUUCAGGCCCUCUUCCAGACCCUCCUAAUGAAUCUGACACAUUUUUCUCAAUGAGUCAAGCGAGAUCCAUAAGGUUGUAGAGUUUAGUCUUUAUUCUUUGUUAAAUUAUGUGAUCGCACCAAGUUAAUUGUGUGCAUCAUUACUUAUCAAAAAUGUGUAUCAUCUGCUUCUAUUUAAUUUG
Molecule: long non-coding RNA, 400 nt
Filed under: Nicotiana benthamiana
Lineage: Eukaryota; Viridiplantae; Streptophyta; Magnoliopsida; Solanales; Solanaceae
Description: long non-coding RNA (NBEN_LNC029066)
Source: RNAcentral